UGAUUAAAGAUUUAUCGGUGAUGGAUGGGGAUGCGUCUGAUUAGCUUGUUGGCGGGGUAACGGCCCACCAAGGCGACGAUCAGUAGGGGUUCUGAGAGGAAGGUCCCCCACAUUGGAACUGAGACACGGUCCAAACUCCUACGGGAGGCAGCAGUGAGGAAUAUUGGUCAAUGGACGAGAGUCUGAACCAGCCAAGUAGCGUGCAGGAAGACGGCCCUAUGGGUUGUAAACUGCUUUUAUAAGGGAAUAAAGUGAGAGUCGUGACUCUUUUUGCAUGUACCUUAUGAAUAAGGACCGGCUAAUUCCGUGCCAGCAGCCGCGGUAAUACGGAAGGUCCGGGCGUUAUCCGGAUUUAUUGGGUUUAAAGGGAGCGUAGGCCGGAGAUUAAGCGUGUUGUGAAAUGUAGGCGCUCAACGUCUGCACUGCAGCGCGAACUGGUUUCCUUGAGUACGCACAAAGUGGGCGGAAUUCGUGGUGUAGCGGUGAAAUGCUUAGAUAUCACGAAGAACUCCGAUUGCGAAGGCAGCUCACUGGAGCGCAACUGACGCUGAAGCUCGAAAGUGCGGGUAUCGAACAGGAUUAGAUACCCUGGUAGUCCGCACGGUAAACGAUGGUUGCCCGCUGUUGGUCUGAAUAGGUCAGCGGCCAAGCGAAAGCAUUAAGCAUCCCACCUGGGGAGUACGCCGGCAACGGUGCAACUCAAAUGAAUUGACGGA
RNAcentral lists this ribosomal RNA (716 nucleotides) under uncultured Bacteroidota bacterium. RNAcentral's name for it is "bacterial SSU rRNA". It matches the Rfam family "Bacterial small subunit ribosomal RNA", at positions 198 to 917 of the family's 1533-position model. The record is from RNAcentral. Lineage: Bacteria; Pseudomonadati; Bacteroidota.